AAGGUUCGUCCGCCCUGGGUUAGUCGGGACCUAAGCUGAGGCCGAAAGGCGUAGGUGAUGGACAACAGGUUGAUAUUCCUGUACUACCGAUAACCGUUUGAGAGAUGGGAUGACACAGUAGGAUAAGCUAAGCACACUGUUGGUUAUGUGUGCCCAAGCAUUGGGGCAGUCAGAGUAGGUAAAUCCGCUUUGAUAAUGCUGGGAUGUGAUGGGGAGCGAAAUUUAGUAGCGAAGUAGCUGAUUUCACACUGUCAAGAAAAGUCUCUAUCGAGGUUAAAGGUACCCGUACCGCAAACCGACACAGGUGGGUGAGGAGA
RNAcentral lists this ribosomal RNA (317 nucleotides) under Clostridioides difficile. RNAcentral's name for it is "partial 23S ribosomal RNA". It matches the Rfam family "Bacterial large subunit ribosomal RNA", at positions 1361 to 1675 of the family's 2925-position model. The record is from RNAcentral. Lineage: Bacteria; Bacillati; Bacillota; Clostridia; Peptostreptococcales; Peptostreptococcaceae.